This 588-nucleotide ribosomal RNA is filed under the name uncultured bacterium. RNAcentral describes it as "partial 16S ribosomal RNA". It matches the Rfam family "Bacterial small subunit ribosomal RNA", at positions 355 to 1376 of the family's 1533-position model. The record is from RNAcentral.
UGGGGAAUCUUCCGCAAUGGACGAAAGUCUGACGGAGCAACGCCGCGUGAGUGAAGAAGGUUUUCGGAUCGUAAAACUCUGUCUUUUGGGGCGAACGUGAGUAUGGUGAACAAUCAUAGUCAGUGACGGUACCAAAGGAGGAAGCCACGGCUAACUACGUGCCAGCAGCCGCGGUAAUACGUAGGUGGCAAGCGUUGUCCGGAAUUAUUGGGCGUAAAGAGCGCGUAGGCGGGAUAGUCAGUCUGUUGUAAAGUGCGGGGCUCAACCCCGUGAUGGCAAUGGAAACAGCUAUUCUUGAGUGCAGGAGAGGAAAGUGGAAUUCCCAGUGUAGCGGUGAAAUGCGUAGAUAUUGGGAGGAACACCAGUGGCGAAGGCGACUUUCUGGACUGUGUCUGACGCUGAGGCGUGAAAGCCAGGGGAGCGAACGGGAUUAGAUACCCCGGUAGUCCUGGCCGUAAACGAUGGGUACUAGGUGUGGGAGGUAUCGACCCCUUCCGUGCCGGAGUUAACGCAAUAAGUACCCCGCCUGGGGAGUACGGUCGCAAGACUGAAACUUAAAUGAAUUGACGGGGUCAUAGCUGUUUCCUG